Molecule: ribosomal RNA, 386 nt
Filed under: Chromulina nebulosa
Lineage: Eukaryota; Chrysophyceae; Chromulinales; Chromulinaceae
Description: partial small subunit ribosomal RNA
Rfam family: Eukaryotic small subunit ribosomal RNA
Source: RNAcentral
GCUUGUCUCAAAGAUUAAGCCAUGCAUGUCUAAGUAUAAGCAUUAUACAGUGAAACUGCGAAUGGCUCAUUAUAUCAGUUAUAGUUUAUUUGAUAGUCCCUACUAUUUGGAUAACCGUAGUAAUUCUAGAGCUAAUACAUGCGUCAAGCCUCGACUCACGGAGAGGUGUAUUUAUUAGAUGGAAACCAAUGCGGGGUAACCCGGAAUAUGGUGAUUCAUAAUAACUUUCGGAUCGAUUUAUCGAUGCAUCAUUCAAGUUUCUGCCCUAUCAGCUUUGGAUGGUAGGGUAUUGGCCUACCAUGGCUUUAACGGGUAACGGAGAAUUAGGGUUCGAUUUCGGAGAGGGAGCCUGAGAAACGGCUACCACAUCCAAGGAAGGCAGCAGG